RNAcentral lists this ribosomal RNA (453 nucleotides) under uncultured Bacteroidales bacterium. RNAcentral's name for it is "bacterial SSU rRNA". It matches the Rfam family "Bacterial small subunit ribosomal RNA", at positions 917 to 1370 of the family's 1533-position model. Lineage: Bacteria; Pseudomonadati; Bacteroidota; Bacteroidia; Bacteroidales. The record is from RNAcentral.
GGGCCCGCACAAGCGGAGGAACAUGUGGUUUAAUUCGAUGAUACGCGAGGAACCUUACCCGGGCUCGAACGGCUUUUGGAUAUACGGGAGACCGUAUAGUCAGCAAUGACAGGAGUCGAGGUGCUGCAUGGUUGUCGUCAGCUCGUGCCGUGAGGUGUCGGCUUAAGUGCCAUAACGAGCGCAACCCCUACUGCCAGUUACCAUCAGUUAAAGCUGGGGACUCUGGCGGGACUGCCACCGCAAGGUGCGAGGAAGGUGGGGAUGACGUCAAAUCAGCACGGCCCUUACGUCCGGGGCUACACACGUGUUACAAUGGGGGGUACAGAGGGCAGCGACCUGGUGACAGGGAGCCAAUCCAAAAAACCUCUCCCAGUUCGGAUCGAAGUCUGCAACCCGACUUCGUGAAGCUGGAUUCGCUAGUAAUCGCGCAUCAGCCAUGGCGCGGUGAAUACG